This 157-nucleotide non-coding RNA is filed under the name uncultured Prevotella sp. Lineage: Bacteria; Pseudomonadati; Bacteroidota; Bacteroidia; Bacteroidales; Prevotellaceae. The record is from RNAcentral.
GGUGCACUUAGCUGUGCUUAAUUGGGAAUGUGAGUGAGAAUCUCCGACUGUCCCGCAGCAGUGAACUCCGUUAUGGCUCCUAAGCAGUAAAGCCAUUGUCCGCUUGGGCGAGAAGGCGUUUGGGAGUGGAGGAAAGUCUGAAGACCAGCCUUUUAUC